CUUGCAUUGUCACUUUCUCAUUGUAUUAAUUCUGCUGGAGAUCUGUUCCAAUCAAAGUUUCAAUGCAUUUUGAUUGUUCCGUUAUAAAGAACAAAUGCAAAAGUUGAAAUUCUUUAGUCCAAUAUUCUCGGAACUGUAUAAGUGGGAUGAUCAGAAUGAAUAUUGCUGUCGACAAGUGAUAUAUAGCACAACCAGAGAAAUGGGAGAACAGAUUCAGCUGCAAAUACAGGUAAGUGCAAAAAGCAGGAUAAUACAUCUCUAUUAUCCUACUCUUUGCACUUAUUUUCAAUGUUUUAUGUUUAGUGAUUAUUAUUGUAAAUGCAAAAUGACAACAGAAUAAUAAUUAAAAGUUCAAUCCAUUUGAUCUUUAGCAUUCUAAAGAUGAUCCUUGAAUGGAUCAGAAACAUUUCCAUUUAAUUCUUAUUUUUCUACUAAAAGUGCUUCAUUUUGGUUAUUGUUGUUAUAUUUUAGUACAGCAGAAGUUUUGAAUAUUUUUUGGAC
This 501-nucleotide long non-coding RNA is filed under the name Androctonus crassicauda. The record is from RNAcentral. Lineage: Eukaryota; Metazoa; Arthropoda; Arachnida; Scorpiones; Buthidae.